GGAGGUGACAGGCAACUGGUGUUGCUCCUGGUCUUCAAAACCAGUGUGGCGGCGGUUAGACCGUCCCGGGUAGGUUCGAUUCCUAUACACCUCCGCCA
This 98-nucleotide transfer RNA is filed under the name Sedimentisphaerales bacterium. RNAcentral's name for it is "tRNA-Sec". It matches the Rfam family "Selenocysteine transfer RNA". The record is from RNAcentral. Lineage: Bacteria; Pseudomonadati; Planctomycetota; Phycisphaerae; Sedimentisphaerales.